This 45-nucleotide non-coding RNA is filed under the name Schistosoma curassoni. Lineage: Eukaryota; Metazoa; Platyhelminthes; Trematoda; Strigeidida; Schistosomatidae. The record is from RNAcentral.
AUCCAGCUUAUGAGUCCAAGAUAGGACGAAACUCACGUCCUGGAU